AGGAUUAUAGUUUAAUUAAAACUUUUAAUUUGCAUUUAAAAAAUAAUCACACAAUUUAAUCUUA
RNAcentral lists this transfer RNA (64 nucleotides) under Oecetis caucula. Its description in RNAcentral is "tRNA-Ala". Lineage: Eukaryota; Metazoa; Arthropoda; Insecta; Trichoptera; Leptoceridae. The record is from RNAcentral.